AAGAUCUCAUUUCUCAAAUCAUCUCAGGCUCAUAAGCCAAAUUUACUCAAAGUGAGUUCCCUUUUUAAAACAAAGCCACUCUUGGCAUUCUCUUUCCAAAACUUCCAAAACCAUGGAAAGUUAAAGAUUCAUUUUGGGAACAUUCAAAAUCACCCAUCCCACAAUGGGAUUUUAUAACAAAGUUUCUCGACAGAGUCCCAAGUCUUUAGGGGAGAAUAGCAUAACUCAUUUCGCCGAAUUCAUUUAAAAUCAU
RNAcentral lists this long non-coding RNA (253 nucleotides) under Arachis ipaensis. RNAcentral describes it as "long non-coding RNA (AIPA_LNC000366)". Lineage: Eukaryota; Viridiplantae; Streptophyta; Magnoliopsida; Fabales; Fabaceae. The record is from RNAcentral.